GGGGCUGUAAUGGUUUCGACGUGUUGGUGAACGCUGCCCCGUGAUACAGGCCGAGAGUGAGUCUUCUCUCGUAAAUCCCGGGCUCAAAACAAAAAGUAACUGCGAACAACAUCGUUCCUUUUGCUCGUAAGGCAGCUGCUGUUGCCUAAAAACCCCUAAACAAGGUUCGAGCGUCUGUAGUUUGACUCCGUUAAGGAUUACAGACAAACCCCAACGGAUGCGCUAGUUAAGUUGUCUCUGGUAGACUUGCUAGCAAAGACCUCAUCAGAGCAUCCUGUCAUCCGGGAUAAUGGAUGGUUCCCGCCCUGAGGAUCAGAUGGGCUAAGCCUGUGAAUGAGCGAUAGGUUAAUAGCCAGGGCGGACGGCAGUUCAAUUCUGCCCAGCUCCACUU
RNAcentral lists this transfer-messenger RNA (391 nucleotides) under Aphanothece sp. CMT-3BRIN-NPC111. It matches the Rfam family "transfer-messenger RNA". Rfam says of the family: Bacterial tmRNA, also known as 10Sa RNA or SsrA, is named for its dual tRNA and mRNA-like properties. Lineage: Bacteria; Bacillati; Cyanobacteriota; Cyanophyceae; Chroococcales; Aphanothecaceae. RNAcentral also lists the same sequence under 1 other name. The record is from RNAcentral.